CCUACGGGAGGCAGCAGUGAGGAAUAUUGGUCAAUGGACGAGAGUCUGAACCAGCCAAGUAGCGUGAAGGAUGACUGCCCUAUGGGUUGUAAACUUCUUUUAUCAAGGAAUAAAACGAGGCACGUGUGCCUUUUUGCAUGUACUUUAUGAAUAAGGAUCGGCUAACUCCGUGCCAGCAGCCGCGGUAAUACGGAGGAUCCGAGCGUUAUCCGGAUUUAUUGGGUUUAAAGGGAGCGUAGAUGGGUUGUUAAGUCAGGUGUGAAAGUUUGCGGCUCAACCGUAAAAUUGCAGUUGAUACUGGCAGUCUUGAGUACAGUUGAGGUAAGCGGAAUUCGUGGUGUAGCGGUGAAAUGCUUAGAUAUCACGAAGAACCCCGAUUGCGAAGGCAGCAUACUAAACUGUGACUGACAUUGAUGCUCGAAAGUGUGGGUAUCAAACAGGAUUAGAUACCCUUGUAGUC
Molecule: ribosomal RNA, 460 nt
Filed under: uncultured bacterium
Lineage: Bacteria
Description: partial 16S ribosomal RNA
Rfam family: Bacterial small subunit ribosomal RNA
Source: RNAcentral